AGUGGCGGACGGGUGAGUAAUGUAUGAGCAACCUGCCUUCAGAGGGGGACAACAGUUGGAAACGACUGCUAAUACCGCAUAAUGUGCAUUGAAGGCAUCUUUGAUGUACCAAAGGAGCAAUCCGCUGAAAGAUGGGCUCAUAUCUGAUUAGUUAGUUGGCAGGGUAACGGCCUACCAAGACUGCGAUCAGUAGCCGGACUGAGAGGUUGAACGGCCACAUUGGGACUGAGAUACGGCCCAGACUCCUACGGGAGGCAGCAGGUGGGGAAUAUUGGGCAAGUGGGCGAAAGCCUGAACCCCAGCAACGCCGCGUGAAGGAAGAAGGUCUUCGGAUUGUAAACUUCUUUUAUGAGGGACGAAGGACGUGACGGUACCUCAUGAAUAAGCCACGGCUAACUACGUGCCAGCAGCCGC
This 414-nucleotide ribosomal RNA is filed under the name uncultured bacterium. RNAcentral's name for it is "bacterial SSU rRNA". It matches the Rfam family "Bacterial small subunit ribosomal RNA", at positions 94 to 518 of the family's 1533-position model. The record is from RNAcentral.